This 301-nucleotide unclassified non-coding RNA is filed under the name Funneliformis mosseae. RNAcentral's name for it is "partial internal transcribed spacer 2". The record is from RNAcentral. Lineage: Eukaryota; Fungi; Glomeromycota; Glomeromycetes; Glomerales; Glomeraceae.
GGGAAGCAGCGAAGGGGGGAACGCAAAUGGCACGCCCGGGUAGGCCGGGGAGUAGGCCGGGUGGAGGGGCGUUAGAACAAAAAUCGAAGCGUCGCGCGUUUUUUUAAGGGUGAUCGCGUCGGAAUUGAGCCGUCCUUCAAAUGUUAAUGCACGUCAAAGUGGCUUAAAAUUCAUCCAUCCGGUACGAUUAAAGCGUAUUUAAGAUCAAUUUUGAUUAAGAACGCGCGAUGAACGUACCAUCUCAUGUAGUACGUUUGACCUGGGUCGUCAGGAUCAUUCGUAUACGAUACUCAAACUUUUG